GUUUGCGAAACCUGCAACAGCGAAGAGACUUUGACACUAAUGACAGAUGAAAGCGUGUGUGCAGCAGUGCGUUGCCUUGUGUUUGUGUAAUUUACAAUAUAAUAACGGCACGCGAUUGGUUCAGAGUGACAAUCUAUUUGAAUUGCGCUCAAAUUUCAUUGGUUCCUGUGGACAACUGGGAAAAUUUUCCACGUGGAACCGAGAUAGACGGUGAUUUUAUUUACUUCAGGUUUCAGAACCUAACACCAAUUUUGACUGCCCUUUCGCAAGUCUAUUAUCAAAGUUUUGUUUCAUUUCACUAAAACAAACAUUAGAGAUCUCAAGGCUUGAACGAAAAUGAAAUUUUCGUCGUAAAUGAAGCAUCUCUGGUCACAAUCGGUGUGCCACGAUUGGUCAGAGAACACUUACUUUAGAGGGUUCGCUUUCCAGUCUUCUAUACUGGAAUAGAUAGAUAUUCAGUUUGUGGAAAUUGAGCAACAGCUAUGGGCGUAUUAUAUUCCAAUUUAAACCAAAUUAGAAACCGCAGGAAUAAAUUUUUACAAGGUUCACUGAAGGGUAAACGACAAAUCAAGGUCUACAAGGGUUUGUUUUGACUUAAAGCUAGUUUACUGGUUUGAAUUUCAGGUUUUUCCUUUCGGUGACUUUUUGAUCGGGGUUGUUUUUCCCUGAAAUAGCAUAAGUAUCUAUAUCCUUCUAAGGUUACCGGAGUUACUCUCGUCACAUCGACGCAUGUAUUGUUUCGAUUUGAAAGCCGCAUUCUCCAAGUUAUAAUAUUGUUUUUGAACAAUGCAGCUCAGUCAUCCCUGUAUCAAGACUGGAAUAAAGAAUCUCCGAGCUGUCAAACGCUGAAUAAAUACUAGCUUGUCAAAUUAAGCGAUGGGAAAAAAAUUAUAGGAAAUAAUGUCGUUUUGGUUUCCUGAUCACACAUUUAGUUCCCUUUUUGCCUUUAUGAUUUGAAGAUAAAACAGCCUAUUUGGUUCUGAUAUUCGGUCGGACGAGACCUAUUCCAAUAGAAUAUACAAAUCCCGCAGGCUAUGUCCUUGCUAGCGUCACUUAGAAACCGCCUACGCACGUUCGAGCCUCUUUAAACUUGCUAUGCAUUUAACUUGGGUCACUUAAAAAUAUAGUUCAAAGUUCUCAAAUCUCGGCCACAAAAAAAUCUAAGAGCUUAUUUUCCCUUCGUAAAUACAAUAUAGGGUACUUUGAUUCUAAGCUCGUUGAGAUCUUUUUUUCACUUUCUAAUUCCAAGCGACCAAAAGUUGUAUGAACAAUGGCAAUUAAAAUUUCACUUGUUACUAGCUAAUAAAGCGACCUAUUAUCAAAAAACCGAGGUUCUUUUAGCUUUUCCAGUAUAAGAUUCAAUUUCUGGUACUUAUAUGCGACUUUUGUAAAGGUCUAAAAGGACUUAAAAAGAGAAUUGCUUUCCGCGAAAAAUUGCUGCGAAGAAGUGUUAAUUGUUCACCUGAAAUCCGUUGGAAUACAUUUCACCUGUCAGUUGACUAAAUGAGUCGGUAAAAAAAUCCGGAGAAAAAUAUUCCAGAAUAAAAUAGAUAAGUUUAGCCUAUUACUAUCGCUUAAAAUAGAAAAUUGCACCAAGAUCUGUAGGAAAAGAUUUGAAUUUCGAAUCAACUGCUCAGUUUUCAUUCAACCAGUUGGUUUCAGUCGGAGACGGUAGGUACCAGAAGGAGCGAAAACAAAACACUAGGUUGCAAUUUACAUCUCAUUGAACGCCGUGACUUGUAAAUGGCAGCGAAUGUUUGUUCUGAAAAGGUGGCUAGAUCACGGUAAAAAAAAAAUCAGGGAGACUAAAUUAUAAUUUUAAUUUUCCGUCUCAGUUUCGGCGUGUGAACUUAAAUUCUCGGUGGCUAGGAGAACGCUGAGGUUGAGUAUUGUGUCUUGAGUUCGAAAUUUACUCAGUUGUGUUUGCGGUAGACAAAGACAAUCUAAACUACUUUAUGAAGAAAGCAAUUGGCCUGAUAACGUUAAGAGCAUUUUUGUGGGCGGAUAAAGGCGGAAAUUGGUUGGUAAAUUUCGAGCCUUGAGUUUGACACUUUACCCGGUCAUAAGCUUCUUUCUCUGAAGCAAAAAAAAAAAAAAAAAAAAUUUGACAGGAGAAACUGAGCCUGCAGUAACUGUUUUGAUACAGCGGCAAAAAUAAAAUUGUAUGCGUUUAAACCAUGACGCAGCAACAAAUAUGGCGGCAAAGUCUGAAAAACCAUGUGGGUUGACACUAGAUUUACGACCAAUUUCUCCAAAUGAAGACAGCUCAGGAAGCUGUGAAAGUAUUAACGAAGCGCCACCCCAGACCCCCAGUUCUCCCUCGAAAGCCAAACCCGAUAAUGUUGUGUUCCGUCAGUCAAACAGGACGAUCUAUACCGCAGGCCGCCCUCCAUGGUACAAUCUCCAAGGACAGCUUAAAGAACCAUUUGUCAUAGGUUUGUGUGGUGGAAGUGCUUCAGGAAAAACUACUGUUGCCAACAAGAUCAUCGAACAACUUGGAGUUCCAUGGGUCAGCAUGCUCUCACUUGAUUCCUUCUACAAGGUACUGACUCCAGAACAACAUAAAGCAGCACUUAGAAAUGAGUACAACUUUGAUCAUCCAGAUUCUUUUGAUGCUGACCUAGCUGCAAGUGUCUUGAAAAAGUUAAAAGAAGGAAAGAGUGUUCAGGUGCCCAUUUAUGACUUCAAAACUCAUGGUAGACUGGAACAGAUGACUAAUUUAUAUGGUGCAAAUGUCAUUAUCUUUGAAGGAAUCAUGGCGUUUGCGUACAAAGAGUUGCGAGAUUUGAUGGAUAUGAAGGUUUUUGUUGAUGCUGAUCCUGAUGUUCGCUUGGCAAGACGACUGAAAAGAGACAUCUCUGAACGAGAGAGGGACCUUGUUGGUGUCUUGCAGCAGUACAACACUUUUGUGAAACCUGCUUUUGAUCAGCACAUAGCACCAACUGUUGUGUUUGCUGACAUUGUUGUCCCAAGAGGUGGUGAAAAUAAUGUUGCUAUUGAUCUGAUUGUGCGCCAUGUCAGAACACAGCUGGAACAGAGAGGAUUUAAUUUCAGAGCACAGCUUCGGUCGUUUCAUCAAGGACAGCCACUUCCCAGUUCACUUAGUAUUUUAGAAAGUACACCACAAGUCAGAGGAUUACAUGCAAUUAUUAGGAAUGAAGAGGCUAGUCGAGAUGACUUUAUCUUUUAUUCCAAGAGACUGAUGAGAAUUCUCAUUGAACAUGCACUUUCACUUCUACCUUUCAAAAAGCAUGUUGUAACAACAAUGGAAGGCAAAAUUUAUGAAGGAAGAAAAUUUGCAGGCAAAAGGCUGUGUGGUGUAUCAAUACUGAGGGCAGGUGAAACAAUGGAACCAGCCUUAGAAUCUCUGUGUAAAGAUGUCAGAAUAGGAAAGAUUCUCAUUCAAACGAAUGAAAUGACAUCAGAACCCGAGCUACAUUAUCAUCGUCUUCCAAAGGGCAUAAGUGAAGAUCAUGUGAUACUUAUGGACGCUACUGUGGCAACAGGUGCAGCAGCGCUCAUGGCCAUCCGAGUUUUAUUGGACCAUGAUGUUAAAGAGGAGAAUAUUCUGUUCUUGUCUUUGAUAACUGCUGAACCAGGGGAGAAACAGAUGUAACGAAAAACUGUCAUUCAAUAGAUCCGGGAAACGGAUUCUGAAAACUCUGUACAGCCUUUUGAAGCCAGGCCUAAAAACAGGUGUUCACACGAUAGCUUAUGCAUACCCAAAGGUUAAGAUAGUCACGGCAGCAGUGGACCCAGAGGUCAACGAUAAAUAUCACAUC
This 3782-nucleotide unclassified non-coding RNA is filed under the name Stylophora pistillata. Its description in RNAcentral is "uridine-cytidine kinase-like 1, transcript variant X3". The record is from RNAcentral. Lineage: Eukaryota; Metazoa; Cnidaria; Anthozoa; Scleractinia; Pocilloporidae.